ACUAAAUUCUAAUUUCCCACCUUACUUAAACAUUCUUUUGGAAAAAAUGAAACCUAACCGCAAACACAGAUCUCUCCCUUCAUCUCUCAUCUUGUUUCCUCUUCUUCUCUUCAUCCCCACUCAUUGAUGAAAAGGCCGAUGCCAAUAAUCCGGUCAUCAGAUCUAAGGAAGAACAUGCAGCUGGUGUUGAAGAAGUGUGAGCCCAUUUUUUAAUUUGAUGAGGAAAAUGGAGUGAGCCAAGGAGGAGGACGGCGAGGAAUUUGAUGACGAAUUGGAGGAGUCUGAUGAUGAUGAAGUGGCGGAAAAUGAAGAAGAAGAAGAUGAAGAUGAGGAGGAGGAGGAAGAAGAAGAAAAUCUAGAAGAAGAAGAAGGUGGAGGCAAGAACGAAAUCGAGGAUGGUUUCUUUAAUAUAAAGGCUACGGAAGCAGAGGAAUAUGAGAAUGACAAGGAGGAUGAAGAGGAUGAAGAAGAAGAUGGUGAAGAUGAGGAGGAAGAGGAUGAUGCCCAGGAGGUGAGGCUGGUCUUUUAUUUACUUGGUUUUGGUUUAAGAAUUUUGCUGAUUUUUGAAUCUUUAAUUUUCGGGUUUUUAUUUGGUGGUUUGUAUCAAAUCUCCGAAAGGAAACCAAGCAAGGGAAGAAACAGCAAUGAAUCCUAUACUAUGGCACGAAGUAGCUGCAGUCUCUAGAAUGGCAGCUCUUGGGUUGGGCAUAUAUGGUGCCGAUGGCUUUAAACCCAGAAACCCAGUUUACAAAGAGGUUUGGCAAAUGGCCUCUCCGUACCAUUUGUUUCACACAGCAGCUCUGCUUGAAGUUACCUUCUUGAAUAUUGUAAAUAACGUAUUCAAUUUGUAGUGAUUCAAAAUCUUCAAUGAUAGCUACUCCGUGUACGUAAUUUCGCUGAGAGUGUUCAAUAUAAGUGGAACUAGAAUUCUGUUUCAAGUCAGGACGGUGCUGUAUCAGUUUAUGAGGUUGCUGAUGGAGGAGCUGGAGAUUGGUUUGGAGGCUUUGUAUCUUUUAUUGGACAGCAAGCUGAUGAAGCCGUUUAAGACCAGUUAUCAGCUGUCAAUUUCUCCAGUUUGGCAAUUAUAGGAAACUGUGCGUCAUUCUUAUUCCAAUGGCAAUGCGAAUGUGAAUGGAAAUAGAAAUGGAGUGAACGGAAAGGACUAUCAAGUACUGAAUGACUACCAGAAGAGCUGCUGGUACAAGGAAUAAAUCGAAGAAAACUUAAGAUGGAGCUUUGCUUUUAAUAGCUGCCGAAUCAGUGGCUGUGGGACAUGAUGGAUGAGUUCGUGUACCGGUUUCAGAGCUUCUGUCAGUUUAGGGCUAAGAUGAAGAACAAGACUGAGCAGGAGAUUACUUUUCUCAGGGAGUUUGAUCAAGUCUUGGAAGGAGGGAAAUAUUUCAGCUAACGAGAAAUUCGUGCAAGUUUAUAUUUGCUGAUGAUGGAGUGAAGAGAGAAUUAAAGGAGAUUUUUAGUUCACCAGAACAGAAGCUCGACCAAUCUUUCGAAUUUAGGGGCAUAUGCAGAAACGCUGAUCAUUUCAUAAGUUGUAUUAUCAACUGUUAUUGACAUCUUUAGAAUGAUAUUUUUUUUCUUCAAGUAAUGCAGAAUCUUCAUUGGUUCCUAA
Molecule: long non-coding RNA, 1627 nt
Organism: Rosa chinensis
Lineage: Eukaryota; Viridiplantae; Streptophyta; Magnoliopsida; Rosales; Rosaceae
Exons: 9
Source: RefSeq, a predicted model, not a curated record